Molecule: unclassified non-coding RNA, 422 nt
Filed under: Hevea brasiliensis (rubber tree)
Lineage: Eukaryota; Viridiplantae; Streptophyta; Magnoliopsida; Malpighiales; Euphorbiaceae
Source: RNAcentral
ACGUCGCAAAGUCUUUGUCGUUUUUCUGACUAGGGAUAUGAUAAAUAGGGUACCAAGAAACAGCCAUCCAACUAGCUGGAGAAAGAUCCACACUCCUAAGUGUAGUUAGUGCAGGAUAAGUUUGAGAUAGCUCUGUUAUCUUGUCCAUGAAAGGCACUCUCCAAUAAGGAGAAGACAUCUCCAUAUACUGUAAAGAGAGGUAUCCAAGCUUUUCCCUCAGCGGCCAUGAUCCCUCCUGGUCGAAGCUCGAAUCUUCAGAAACCGCAUCCCAUGUUCUGCUGGAGUUGUUGCUCAGGGAUCUUGACAGGUUAUCGCUCCAGCUAUCGUCGCUCCAAGAAUCACUUUCACAUUCUGCCAUGUCACUAUCAUAUCUUCGGUUUCUGGAAGGAGCAACAGGCUUGCUUGUGUAGAUCUGAAUUGCA